UACGUAGGGUGCAAGCGUUGUCCGGAAUUAUUGGGCGUAAAGAGCUCGUAGGCGGUCUGUCGCGUCGGCUGUGAAAACCCGAGGCUCAACCUCGGGCCUGCAGUCGAUACGGGCAAACUAGAGUACUGCAGGGGAGACUGGAAUUCCUGGUGUAGCGGUGAAAUGCGCAGAUAUCAGGAGGAACACCGGUGGCGAAGGCGGGUCUCUGGGCAGUAACUGACGCUGAGGAGCGAAAGCGUGGGGAGCAAACAGG
Molecule: ribosomal RNA, 253 nt
Filed under: uncultured bacterium
Lineage: Bacteria
Description: partial 16S ribosomal RNA
Rfam family: Bacterial small subunit ribosomal RNA
Source: RNAcentral